Molecule: unclassified non-coding RNA, 345 nt
Filed under: soil metagenome
Description: partial contains 5.8S ribosomal RNA, internal transcribed spacer 2, and large subunit ribosomal RNA
Rfam family: 5.8S ribosomal RNA (bases 1-119)
Source: RNAcentral
GAUGAAGAACGUAGCGAAAUGCGAUAAGUAGUGUGAAUUGCAAAUUCAGUGAAUCAUCGAGUCUUUGAACGCACAUUGCGCCCCCUGGUCUUCCGGGGGGCAUGCCUGUCCGAGCGUCAUUGCUGCCCUCAAGCACGGCUUGUGUGUUGGGCCCCGUCCUCCGAUCCCGGGGGACGGGCCCGAAAGGCAGCGGCGGCACCGCGUCCGGUCCUCGAGCGUAUGGGGCUUUGUCACCCGCUCUGUAGGCCCGGCCGGCGCUUGCCGAUCAACCCAAAUUUUUAUCCAGGUUGACCUCGGAUCAGGUAGGGAUACCCGCUGAACUUAAGCAUAUCAAUAAGCGGAGGA